AUGUCACCAGGGUCAGGGACCCCCCAGACUGAGCCCACCGCUCUCUGUCCUUCCUCCCCAGGGCUGCGGGCAGCCGAGACCUUGGAUGAGUCCGGAGGGGGCCUCGUGAGUCCCGGGGGGUCCCUGACCCUGGUCUGCAAGGGCUCCGGCUUCACCUUCAGCAGCUACACCAUGUAUUGGGUGCGACAGGCACCCGGGAAGGGGCUCGAGUUCGUCGCGAGUAUUGAGAACGAUGGUAGUGGCACUUACUACGCGCCGGCGGUGAAGGGACGCUUCACCAUCUCCAGGAACAACGGGCAGAGCACGGCCACCCUGCAGAUGAACAGCCUCAAGGCCGAAGACACCGCCACCUACUACUGCGCGAGAAGUUAUGCUCGUACUGGUUGUACUGGUAUUGAUUGGAUUGAUGCUGUUGCUGGUGCUGCUUGUGCUGCUGGUGCUGCUGGUCUCAUCCACAGCCCAUGGCAAGGUCCCAACACAACUCAUCCCAGCUCUGCCUGCGUGUUGGUCUGCUACUACUGCUCGUAACGGGGUCGUGCCAUG
Non-coding RNA from Anas platyrhynchos (mallard), 543 nucleotides. The record is from the annotation of a RefSeq genome assembly. NCBI's taxonomy places the organism in Eukaryota, Metazoa, Chordata, Aves, Anseriformes, Anatidae.